ACCCGUGGUUAGCUCAGUUGGUAGAGCGCUCCACUGGAAAUGGAGAGGUCCCGGGUUCGAGUCCCGGACCAGGCG
RNAcentral lists this transfer RNA (75 nucleotides) under Ixodes scapularis (black-legged tick). RNAcentral describes it as "tRNA-Ser". It matches the Rfam family "tRNA". From Rfam's summary of the family: Transfer RNA (tRNA) molecules are approximately 80 nucleotides in length. Their secondary structure includes four short double-helical elements and three loops (D, anti-codon, and T loops). The record is from RNAcentral. Lineage: Eukaryota; Metazoa; Arthropoda; Arachnida; Ixodida; Ixodidae.